Long non-coding RNA from Hyla sarda, 476 nucleotides. RefSeq lists it as uncharacterized. The record is from RefSeq and is a predicted model, not a curated record. The transcript is spliced from 3 exons. NCBI's taxonomy places the organism in Eukaryota, Metazoa, Chordata, Amphibia, Anura, Hylidae.
CAGGCUGCAGCCCAAUUGGAGCAGGCAGGUGCUUUGCUUCCUGUUCCAUUGCUGACUUCAUCACCCGCCCGCGCUGAAGGGGAACAGGAAGACUUCCCCUGCCCACCGCUGCGGCCUCCAUACAACAGGAGCACAGAUCUGUACUGCAACAAGGCCAGAAGAAGUGCACACAGCGCAAAACUGCUGUCAGUCACCUCUGAGCGCCCUGCAUGAGGUCUGGAACUGGUGAUGUCCGCGUGAGCAGUUGAAGUGGAGUCGGACGACUGAAGCCUAGCGAAUUCGAUAAUCCAUGUAGCAGAUGCUAAAAAGAACAAACACACGCAGGGACGCUCCUAGUGGACACACGCAGGGACGCUCCACUAACAUCUAAAACUCUCUGUUUAAUAAAUAGUUCAUUCAUCUUCCAACUAUAAGAACAAGCUGCUUUACCAGCUUCUGCUGUCCUUGCAGUACGUAGUAUUAUUAUCACAGCCACA